GUGAGGGAUAUUGGUCAAUGGGGGGAACCCUGAACCAGCCAUGCCGCGUGAGGGAGUAAGGCCCUACGGGUCGUAAACCUCUUUUGCCGGGGGAUAAGGAUACCUACGUGUAGGUAUUUGAAGGUACCCGGAGAAUAAGCAUCGGCUAACUCCGUGCCAGCAGCCGCGGUAAUACGGAGGAUGCGAGCGUUAUCCGGAUUUAUUGGGUUUAAAGGGUGCGCAGGCGGGCGAUUAAGUCAGCGGUGAAAGGCUCGGGCUCAACCGGAGCAGUGCCGUUGAUACUGGUUGUCUUGAAUGCGGUCAAGGCCGGCGGAAUGUGGCGUGUAGCGGUGAAAUGCAUAGAUAUGCCACAGAACACCGAUAGCGAAGGCAGCUGGCCGGGCCUGCAUUGACGCUGAGGCACGAAAGCGUGGGGAUCGAACAGG
This 425-nucleotide ribosomal RNA is filed under the name uncultured rumen bacterium. Its description in RNAcentral is "bacterial SSU rRNA". It matches the Rfam family "Bacterial small subunit ribosomal RNA", at positions 354 to 776 of the family's 1533-position model. The record is from RNAcentral.